Molecule: transfer RNA, 65 nt
Filed under: Rhopalopsole subnigra
Lineage: Eukaryota; Metazoa; Arthropoda; Insecta; Plecoptera; Leuctridae
Description: tRNA-Ala
Source: RNAcentral
AGGGUAGUAGUUAAGUAUAACAUUUGGGUUGCAUUCAAAAAGUAUUGAAAAAUCAAUCUACCUUA